UACGGGGGGAGCAAGCGUUGUUCGGAUUUACUGGGCGUAAAGGGCGCGUAGGCGGCCUGCUAAGUCACACGUGAAAUCCCUCGGCUCAACCGGGGAACUGCGUGUGAUACUGGCGGGCUUGAAUUCGGGAGAGGGAUGUGGAAUUCCAGGUGUAGCGGUGAAAUGCGUAGAUAUCUGGAGGAACACCGAUGGCGAAGGCAGGUCUCUGGGCCACUACUGACGCUGAGAAGCGAAAGCAUGGGGAGCGAACAGG
RNAcentral lists this ribosomal RNA (253 nucleotides) under uncultured bacterium. Its description in RNAcentral is "partial 16S ribosomal RNA". It matches the Rfam family "Bacterial small subunit ribosomal RNA", at positions 524 to 776 of the family's 1533-position model. The record is from RNAcentral.